Molecule: ribosomal RNA, 594 nt
Filed under: uncultured euryarchaeote
Lineage: Archaea; Methanobacteriati; Methanobacteriota
Description: bacterial SSU rRNA
Rfam family: Archaeal small subunit ribosomal RNA
Source: RNAcentral
ACGGGGUGCAGCAGGCGCGAAAACUUCACACUGCAGGAAACUGUGAUGAGGGAACUCCAAGUGCAUGCACAAUGUGUAUGCUUUUCCUUACUUUUAAUCGGUUUGGGAAUAAGGGCUGGGAAAGACCGGUGCCAGCCGCCGCGGUAAUACCGGCAGCUCAAGUGGUCGUCGCUUUUAUUGGGCCUAAAACGUCCGUAGCCUGUUUGGUAAAUCUGUGGGUAAAUCAACCAGCUCAACUGGUUGAAUUCUGCAGAGACUGCCAGACUAGGGACCGGGAGAGGUGUGGGGUACUCUCGGGGUAGGGGUAAAAUCCUGUCAUCCUGGGAGGACCACCAGUUGCGAAGGCGCCACACUGGAACGGAUCCGACGGUCAGGGACGAAGCCUAGGGGCACGAACCGGAUUAGAUACCCGGGUAGUCCUAGGAGUAAACGCUGUGAACUUGGUGUCGGGGAUCCUACUUGGGUUCCCGGUGCCGGAGUGAAGAUGUUAAGUUCACUGCCUGGGGAGUACGGUCGCAAGGCUGAAACUUAAAGGAAUUGGCGGGGGAGCACUGCAACGGGAGGAGCGUGCGGUUUAAUUGGAGUCAACGCCGG